Molecule: non-coding RNA, 4289 nt
Organism: Microcebus murinus (gray mouse lemur)
Lineage: Eukaryota; Metazoa; Chordata; Mammalia; Primates; Cheirogaleidae
Source: RefSeq, a predicted model, not a curated record
UGGGGUUAGAGCCUGUCGGGGGGCUGGGGCACCCAGGGCUGUGCUUCACCCCACAGCACAUUCAUCAGACCCUCACUUGGGCAACUGCAAAGAAGUUCUAAACUGGCUCUUUGCCUUUUAUAAUUUUAAUUAGAAAACCUUUUCCUACGUGAUCUACCACAACUAAUCCGAAUUAGUGAGGCUUUGCAACGUUUAAAACGACCUCACUGUGGGUCCUGGAGGAGCAGCUAUGAGCAAGGCCCCUCCCAGGCCCUUCCAGCCGCAGUCCACGACUGCAGAGAGGCCUGACCCCACGGAACCCCAGCGGGUUCUGUCCAUGUCACUGAGCAGAUGCUCUAGAAAAGGCAAACAAUUGUGGAAACCAGAACAAAGUUGGAGGCUGACACACCUCUGGUUGCACAGCAAAGCUGGGGUGACAAGACAGCACAUUUCUGGCAAGAGGACAGACCGCUGUGGAUCAACAGCACUCUCCGGUGGGUUCAGGGAGAGCCCUACACGAACACACGUGUGCAUGCACAAACGUGUGCACUCGCACACACACGUGCACACACGCAGCCCACCGCUUUCCAAGGAGGCAAGCAGGGGAGAAAGGAUUCUUUUCAACAAACGGAGGUAGAACAAUCAGUGACCCAUAUGCAAAAAUUGCCCUUUUAUCUACACCGGGUAGCAUAUACCAGAUUAACUCAAAAUAGAUCACAGUCCUAAUUAUUAAACCUAAAACAAACUUCAAGGACAUGAAAAAGCAAAACUUUGUGAACUUGGGUAAGGCAAAGAUUUCUUAGAAAUGACACCCAAACACAGUCCGUAAUGAAAAAAAUGGAUGAACUGGACUUCAUCCACAUGUUGACAACUGCCUUUCAGAAGACACUGUUGAGGGAAUGAAAAGACAAGCCACCAGCUGGGAGAAAAUAUUUGCAGAACACACACCCAACGAAGGACUCGUAGCUGAAAUGUACAGAGAACUCUGAAAACUCAACAAUAAGAAAAAACCCACUGUAAAAACAUGGGCAAAAUAUGUGAGCCAGAGACGUCACCAAGGAAGAUAUACAGACGGCAAACAACACACGGAGGGACGCCGAGCACCAUCAGAGAUGCAGACGAAACCACAGCAAGGAGCCACUGCACACCCACAGGGAUGGCUGCAGCCAUGAAAAUAAGGAAAAGGACAGGCCCCCGGCUGGGUGGCUGCAGUGGCUGGAGGCUCCUUCCCAGCUGGCAUCUCGCACGGUGUCUUACAAGGCAGACACCUGCCGCCUGCACAGUCCCAUCCCUGGGUCCCACUCAAGGGACAUGGAAACAUAAGCUCACACAUGAACUCAUAGGGGAUUUUAUCACAGUUUUACUCAGUCACCAAAACAUAACAACCCGAGUGUCCCUCAGCAGUGACCAGAUGAACACACUGCGACGUGUGCACACCGUGGACAACACUCAGCAACUCGAGAAGGAGCCAGCGAGAGAGGACACAGUGGGCUCCAUGGCCAGGCUCUGUGGCUGGAGCCAGAUAUGAAAACGCCGCCCCCCUGUGGCUCCCAGAGCCCAAGGUCAGUGCUGUUUUACGCGGCACCUAGAGGAUCCACACGCACUUUACAUGUGUCCAGAAGAUGCGGGACGUUCCAACCAAACACCCGGUCUGGGGCAGAGCCGAGCUGGCGGGGGUUGCUGGGGCCAGAGCCCCACGGCACGUUGUCGAGCUUUCCCACGUAUGGGCAGGUGUCCCGCAGCAUCCACCCAGGAGGGGCUGGGGGACUGGGGACGUGCAGCGUGUGGGCAGUGGCUUCUCGCCCCUGCAAGCUCUCAGCUGGAUGCCUGCCAGGGCCUCCCCCCAGCGGUGCCUGCCACGGACAGCAUAAAGCCCCCCUUUCCUCCCUCUGGGCCUGCCGGCUGUGUUGACUCUAAGGCCCUGUGGGGCCUCUCUGUCCUGUGCUGUCAAAGGCGCCCCUGUCUCCUAUUCACAGCCCUGCCCAGGCUGACAUGCGGACGCCAGGCCUGACCACCAGCCUGGUGACCAGCGCUGGGCACGCGGCCCCUCUGGGCGGCCUCAGCUCCAGGCACCACCAGUGCCAGCCCCUCAGUCUGGGGAGGGGGUGGCUGAGGGGCUCCCCUAUCAGAGACCACAUUCAGAUUGGGGUGGAUGCCUGUGCCAAGAGCCACUGGCCACGCCCAUGUCCCCAAGCAUCCCUGUGAUCUUGGGAAGAGGGGCCCCCGUCUCUGCCCUGAGCCCGCAGGAGCUCUCCCUAGGAGAGCCAGGCGCCUUCUGCCAGAGCAGUCCCCAGCGAGUGCUGGGAAGACAAUGCCUGUCUCUUCCCCGAGACACUCAGUCCUGCUCGAGCUAGCCUGUUCCCAGAGCCCAUCAGGGCAGGAGGUGUCCUUGGAGCACACGCUGCUCAGAAGAUGCGGUUCUCCCCAAACCCAGCCCGGCAGACGUGGCCACUGCUCACACACAGUGCCCAGGGGAAGGGCUUGCUUCCCAGGCCCAGUCUUCUCCAGGUCUCUGGGCCAAACCCAGGGCCAGCAGGGGCCCCAGCUCGGUCUCUUGGGGACACUGGGGCCUGGCCAGGGCUGUCCAGGAGCCGGUGUGGGGCCAGCACAGCACUGAGGACCGGCCUGUGCCUCCAGGGCCGAGGCCACCAAAGCUUCCCUGAGCUCUGGGCUGAGGCAGAGCCCCUGCCCUCUCCAUCCGCAGCUCUGUGAUGGCACUUGCUGCUCGGGCUCCCAGGACCUGCAGAAGUGUGGACCCGACUGGCCCGUCCAGAUGCCACUGCGGGCAGAAAGCAGGGGACCGUCGAGGGCGACUAAGGGGCAAGCAGCUGCCCCCGUGCUGAGAGUCAGAGCAUGAGGGGCACCGGGGCACAAACCUCCAGGAUGUUCCCUUCAGCCGUGGGCUGAGGCCGACGGGGAUGGCGGGGAGGCUCCUGCCUGGUGGAGACGUGGACUGGGGGAGCCUGUCUGGCGGGCUCGCGUGGACGCGGCACGGGAGUGCGCACAUCUCUACUGGGCCUCGGGCGGCCCCAGGCUAGCCACUCGCCUCGGACCAGCAGCUCCGACCUGUCCCUGCGCUCGAGGAGGCUGCGGUGGUUCCCGUCACUCUCGCACUCCAGCCUCCUCCUGCCGGGGCUGGCCUGUGCAUGCUGACCGCCCUGCGUCCCCAGACCCCAGCAGGACCAGACGCCCAGGCUGAGAACCCAGAGCAGCCACUGCCCCCCGGGCCCUUCCAGUUCCUGGCCAGCUCGGAAACCCCUCGGGGAGCGGGGAGGCAGCCUCCGCCCACACGGCCUGGACGGGCCUGACAUGGGCCACCUGUGAGGGCUUCACCCCGCAUCGCAGGAGACCAGAGCCCCUUCCUGGACCCCCGUGUGGGCUCAGCUGGUGGCUGGAAACACCCACUGAACAGGCCGCUCAGCUCCGGGGCCUACGGGGAAGCCAGCAACCCUUCCUCCUGCUCUGGGCGCCCAGGCACACCCACUGGCUGCCCCGGCUCCACCUUCCAUGGCCUCUGCCCACAACACCCAGUUACCUCCCUCCGAGUGGGAAACAAGCCCGCCCUUACGGCUCCUCCUAACUUCACGUUGCCUAGUGCCUUUGUGUGGUCACUCGCCUGUGGCCGUCACCAGGACCUGGACUCGGGGCCAGAGGGGCCCCGUGCGGGCUCCCGAGGCGGAGUGGACGGGCCGAGCCACCGGGGAGCGGGGCCUGUCGCCGGCCAACGCCACGGAGAAUGGCCAAUCCUGCCCCAACGAGCCGUCACAGACUCCCAGGAGCCUUAACUGCAAGGCCACAGAGCCACCAGCCCGCUGAUGCUUGCCACAGACGCCUGCCUGCGCAGCCCAUCGCGCCCACGGGCCUCCACUCUGCAGAAGCUGUGGUUGCCUGCCCUGCCGCCAGCGGCCACCAGAGGGCGCCACAGGGACACGCCUGGCCCAGGCUCCGGCCAAGGCCGCCGGACCCCGAGACGUGGCCCUAGAGUGGCUUUUGAGAAGAGCCGUCUGCAGACUUCAGGAUGAGCCCCACUGGGCCCUGCCGUCCCUGGCAGGUGGCAGCAGGACCUGCCCCACACACGGUGAGGUGAUCCCUGGGCACUGUAUUCCAAGAAGGGCAGGUGUCUCGAAGUACAACCACGUCACGUGCCCUCACUGCCUGUCAGAGCACAGAAUCUGCCCCCAGAUUUGGACCCGCAGACAUCUCGGGACGUCUGCACGACCGUCCCUCCCCGAGCGUGGACCCUGGGCCCUGGAAAAGAAGCCGCCUGGCCUGGAGGAAGCCCGUGUGGCACUUACUUGAUCUUGCUGAAG